GAUGAAGAACGUAGCGAAAUGCGAUAAGUAAUGUGAAUUGCAGAAUUCAGUGAAUCAUCGAAUCUUUGAACGCACAUUGCGCCCGCCAGUAUUCUGGCGGGCAUGCCUGUUCGAGCGUCAUUUCAACCAUCAAGCCCCCGGCUUGUGUUGGGGACCUGCGGCUGCCGCAGGCCCUGAAAACCAGUGGCGGGCUCGCUGUCACACCGAGCGUAGCAGAUUUUCAUCUCGCUCAGGGCGUGCUGCGGGUUCCGGCCGUAAAAAGCCUUAUUUACCCAAGGUUGACCUCGGAUCAGGUAGGAAGACCCGCUGAACUUAAGCAUAUCAAUAAGCGGAGGA
Molecule: unclassified non-coding RNA, 336 nt
Filed under: soil metagenome
Description: partial contains 5.8S ribosomal RNA, internal transcribed spacer 2, and large subunit ribosomal RNA
Rfam family: 5.8S ribosomal RNA (bases 1-120)
Source: RNAcentral